Molecule: ribosomal RNA, 478 nt
Filed under: uncultured bacterium
Lineage: Bacteria
Description: bacterial SSU rRNA
Rfam family: Bacterial small subunit ribosomal RNA
Source: RNAcentral
UGCAGUCGCACGAGAACGCUUCAGCUUGCUGAAGUUAGUAAAGUGGCGCACGGGUGAGUAACGCGUGGGUAAUCUACCCCCCGAAUUGGGGAUAACAUCGCGAAAGCGAUGCUAAUACCGAAUGAUAUCUUGAAAACUCUGUUUUCUGGAUCAAAGAUGGCCUCUACAUGUAAGCUAUUGUUUGGGGAUGAGCCCGCGUACCAUUACCUUGUUGGUAGGGUAAUGGCCUACCAAGGCAACGAUGGUUAGCUGGUCUGAGAGGAUGAUCAGCCACACUGGAACUGACACACGGUCCAGACUCCUACGGGAGGCAGCAGUGAGGAAUUUUGCGCAAUGGGGGAAACCCUGACGCAGCAACGCCGCGUGAGUGAUGAAGGCUUUCGGGUCGUAAAGCUCUGUCAAGUGGGAAGAAACCAUAUGGUGUUAAUAUUGCCAUAUGCUGACGGUACCAUUGAAGGAAGCACCGGCUAACUCCGUG